CUAAAGACUAUGAAGAGGAGAAGUAGCAUUCAAUUACAGCGCAGAGAGCCGGCGGCUGGUGAAAGCCGGACUGGGGUUGAAUCGUGAAGUACACCUCGGAGUUGCUAGCUGAAGAUUCAGCGACUCAUUUUGAUGGGUUGAAGAAUUGGUAGGUGUGGCCGGAGCUUCCGCCGUUAGCAGGAAGGGGGUAUCGGUAAGCAGUAUGUCUUGCCCGUACUCUAGUGAGGAGGAGCCGGUAGAAUGGUUUGGCGGCUCUACAAGGGUGGUAUCGCGGGAAUUAUACUCCCGUCCCUUAU
Sporomusa sphaeroides DSM 2875 is the source of this 296-nucleotide non-coding RNA. The record is from Rfam. NCBI's taxonomy places the organism in Bacteria, Bacillati, Bacillota, Negativicutes, Selenomonadales, Sporomusaceae.